Molecule: ribosomal RNA, 254 nt
Filed under: uncultured bacterium
Lineage: Bacteria
Description: partial 16S ribosomal RNA
Rfam family: Bacterial small subunit ribosomal RNA
Source: RNAcentral
UACGGGGGGAGCAAGCGUUGUUCGGAUUUACUGGGCGUAAAGGGCGCGUAGGCGGUCAGCACAAGUCAAUUGUGAAAUCUCCGAGCUUAACUCGGAAAGGUCAACUGAAACUGUGCGACUAGAGUGCGGAAGGGGCAACUGGAAUUCUUGGUGUAGCGGUGAAAUGCGUAGAUAUCAAGAGGAACACCUGCGGCGAAGGCGGGUUGCUGGGCCGACACUGACGCUGAAGCGCGAAAGCCAGGGGAGCAAACGGG